GAUAGAUUUCAACAUUCAGGAGAAACAAUAAGUCGGCAUUUCAAGAGAGUAUUAAAAGCCAUUAAUGGCUUACAUGAUGUUUACAUAAUAGAUCCGCCCAAUGAAGUUCCCAACGAAAUAUUGGGCGACUCAAGGUUUUACCCAUACUUCAAGAACUGUAUGGGAGCAAUUGAUGGGACACAUAUUAAUGCAAAAAUCAAGCUUGAUAAACAAACUCCUUACAGAAAUAGGCAUGGUUAUCCCUCUCAAAAUGUAAUGGCAGUAGUGUCAUUUGACAUGACAUUUUCAUAUGUGGCUGCUGGAUGGGAAGGUUCCGCAUCGGAUCAAGCCGUAUUAAGGUGGGCUGUUACUGAUGGUGGGUUUGUUGUCCUAGAAGGUAAGUUUUAUCUCGUGGACUCGGGCUAUGCAAAUACUCCAAGAUUUAUUGCCCCCUAUCAUGGAGAUCGCUAUCACAUUGGUUCUUUUCGUGGAACUAAACGUCGAUAUAGUA
Long non-coding RNA from Triticum dicoccoides, 490 nucleotides. RefSeq lists it as uncharacterized. Lineage: Eukaryota; Viridiplantae; Streptophyta; Magnoliopsida; Poales; Poaceae. The transcript is spliced from 3 exons. The record is from RefSeq and is a predicted model, not a curated record.